This 242-nucleotide long non-coding RNA is filed under the name Panax ginseng (ginseng). RNAcentral's name for it is "long non-coding RNA (PGIN_LNC009444)". Lineage: Eukaryota; Viridiplantae; Streptophyta; Magnoliopsida; Apiales; Araliaceae. The record is from RNAcentral.
UUCGGAUUUCUUUCGGUGUCGCUAGGUAAUGUUCCUUGUGGUCUAUUAUUCAAUGCCAAUGCAAUUUGACCUAUCUAAUUCUCUAUAUUUUUUAGCUUGAUUCUUCAUAGCCAAAUCGUUGCUAGUCAUGUACCUUGCCCAUGAUUCCUCCCCAUCGGAUUUCCUGUCCUGCUGUUGAAUCUGUUGUGGAUGACUAUGAAAACCAGGGGGAUAUGAUGGUCGUGGAGCUUGAGUUUGCUGAU